RNAcentral lists this ribosomal RNA (460 nucleotides) under uncultured bacterium. RNAcentral's name for it is "partial 16S ribosomal RNA". It matches the Rfam family "Bacterial small subunit ribosomal RNA", at positions 338 to 795 of the family's 1533-position model. The record is from RNAcentral.
CCUACGGGAGGCAGCAGUGAGGAAUAUUGGUCAAUGGACGAGAGUCUGAACCAGCCAAGUAGCGUGAAGGAUGACUGCCCUAUGGGUUGUAAACUUCUUUUAUAUGGGAAUAAAACGUUCCACGUGUGGGAUUUUGUAUGUACCAUAUGAAUAAGGAUCGGCUAACUCCGUGCCAGCAGCAGCGGUAAUACGGAGGAUCCGAGCGUUAUCCGGAUUUAUUGGGUUUAAAGGGAGCGUAGGUGGAUUGUUAAGUCAGUUGUGAAAGUUUGCGGCUCAACCGUAAAAUUGCAGUUGAAACUGGCAGUCUUGAGUACAGUAGAGGUGGGCGGAAUUCGUGGUGUAGCGGUGAAAUGCUUAGAUAUCACGAAGAACUCCGAUUGCGAAGGCAGUUCACUGGACUGCAACUGACACUGAGGCUCGAAAGUGUGGGUAUCAAACAGGAUUAGAUACCCUUGUAGUC